CCGUACAAUCUUUCAGGUAUACAACAUAUGUCUACAAGCCUCUAAGAGUACAUAAAUAUCAUAAAGGUCGGGACAGAGUCCCGCCAUACCAAAAAAUACACGUCUAAAUCAUACUAACCAAACAAGCAACUCCGAAGCAAAUGGAGCGCACCAACAUCUUCCGCUGAGCUGAUAGCCUACUUAGAGGGCUCUCGACCUGUCUAUCGGGACCUGCGGGCAUGAAACGCAUCGCCCCCAGGCAAAAAGGACGUUAAUACAAAUAAUGUACCGAGUAUGUAAGGUACAUAAAUAAGUACAUAAGAGACAUGGAAGAAAUAUAGAGUACAUGACUCAACCUGUAAGUCUGAAUAACUUUGUAAAUCAUAAAUUACUUUUAGCGUCAUGCAUAUGCGUAUGAAUUUCAUGUCGUGCAUAGGUACAUGUUUCAUAACAUCAUUAGCCUCUGAGGGCAUCUCAUCAUAUUGGCCAAUGUGUGCAAAAUCAUCAUCGUAUACCAGCUGAUCAGGUGAUGGUGCGUAUAUAAUGCCAAAACCUUUCCCAUAUCUCAUAUCCCAUAUACAUAUAUAUACAUACAUAUAUACGCAUAUAUAACGUCAUUUGAAUCAUAUUUCAGCCACUAUGGGCAACAUCAUUAUCAUAUACUAGCUGAUCAAGUGGUGGUACGUAUAUAACUCCGUAACCUUUUCCCAUAUCCCAUAUACAUAUAUUUACAUAUAUACGUGUAUAUAAUGCCAUCUGGUCAUGGGUCAAUGCACAUGUAUGAAAUGCAUGAAAAAUACGUAAUAAUCUCAAUAUUCCUUCUGGAUAAAUUUUUCCAAUUGCGUAUUAUUCUGAGACCCACGAGCAGAAGAUAAAAUAUUAUGACACACGAAAAUUCAAGAAUAUAGAUAUCUCUAAUACUUCUAUGAAUAGAGUCAUUCAUGGAAUUUAUGCAUUUGCACGUUUCGUUCGUAUCGUGUGGAUCAUGCCAAAAGAAAGAAGGGAUAGCCUUAACAUACCUGUUUCUUGAAUUAUUGGAACGAAUAAAGAAGGGAUAGCCUUAACAUACCUGUUUCUUGAAUUAUUGGAAUGAAUCUGCUUCUGCAAAAUUUACACUGGAUUUCCUUGAAAUUGGAACGAACUUGUUCUGCUUCUAACGUUUUUGUAUACUAAAAGCAAAGAUGGAUUUAAUCUCAAAUGUUGAACUUGAACGUUUGCUUCGGCUUCUAUUAUACUGUGAAUCAGAAUGGGUUUAAGCUAAAUUUUGUCCCAACGUUGUUUUGAAGUUUGAUAUGAAGCUUUUUUUCUCAUUUUCCAAUUUCAGAAGGGAUUAAAUCAAGUCCCUUUCCC
RNAcentral lists this long non-coding RNA (1329 nucleotides) under Nicotiana tabacum (common tobacco). RNAcentral's name for it is "long non-coding RNA (NTAB_LNC016428)". Lineage: Eukaryota; Viridiplantae; Streptophyta; Magnoliopsida; Solanales; Solanaceae. The record is from RNAcentral.